UACGUAGGGUGCAAGCGUUUGUCCGGAAUUAUUGGCGUAAAGAGCUCGUAGGCGGUCUGUCGCGUCUGCUGUGAAAACUCAGGGCUUAACCCUGAGCUUGCAGUGGGUACGGGCAGACUAGAGUGCGGUAGGGGAGACUGGAAUUCCUGGUGUAGCGGUGAAAUGCGCAGAUAUCAGGAGGAACACCGGUGGCGAAGGCGGGGUCUCUGGGCAACAACUGACGCUGGAGGAGCGAAAGCGUGGGGAGCGAACAGG
Molecule: ribosomal RNA, 255 nt
Filed under: uncultured bacterium
Lineage: Bacteria
Description: partial 16S ribosomal RNA
Rfam family: Bacterial small subunit ribosomal RNA
Source: RNAcentral